GACUCUGUAGUGAAGUUCAUGGUGAGUUGCAAGCUCAUUGAUGCGUAUUAAUUCUACGCCGGAGUCU
This 67-nucleotide transfer RNA is filed under the name Rhabdornis inornatus. Its description in RNAcentral is "tRNA-Cys". The record is from RNAcentral. Lineage: Eukaryota; Metazoa; Chordata; Aves; Passeriformes; Rhabdornithidae.